UUUAGGACUCUUUCUCACACCAUGACUCGUGGUCGAAGUUUUUCCAAUCUCGUAACUAUGCUACUUUCUAUCAUGCAGCAUGUAUGACACUGACUGUAUGUGUGCCUAUGCAACUCUUCUCUCCUUUUUGUUCCAGAGUGUAGCCAAUCUCUAGGCCUCACUUUGCAAACAUAUACAGAGCUUUAAAAAAAUGUCUCUCUGGGCAUCUAUAGGUAUACUGAAGUUCUUC
This 229-nucleotide long non-coding RNA is filed under the name Nicotiana benthamiana. RNAcentral describes it as "long non-coding RNA (NBEN_LNC023783)". Lineage: Eukaryota; Viridiplantae; Streptophyta; Magnoliopsida; Solanales; Solanaceae. The record is from RNAcentral.